Megalops cyprinoides (Indo-Pacific tarpon) is the source of this 360-nucleotide long non-coding RNA. RefSeq lists it as uncharacterized. The record is from RefSeq and is a predicted model, not a curated record. NCBI's taxonomy places the organism in Eukaryota, Metazoa, Chordata, Actinopteri, Elopiformes, Megalopidae. The transcript has 4 exons.
GAUAUAACAUCAUGCCUGUAUCGCACAUGUUUUGAGACGCUGUCUGUUUGUCUGUGGGCACUGGAUUGCUGGCGUUUGGAUUUUUCUCCCGGAUCAUUCGUGGGGUUGUGACUAAAACGUGAAGGAGCAGUGUUGGUGGUGUGAGCCUGGCAACGAGGUGAGAUUGUAUGCUGAGUGGAGCAAACGGAAGGGAGCAAGGAGCAGACUGCUCAGUUCAUAAAACAAUGGGGGGACAAUGACUGCCUGUUCACCGGGGCCAAAAAUUCAGCCAGUGUAGCUUGGAGGACAAUUCUGGAGAAAAUGGGUCUGCUGGGGAAGGUGACUCCCUUGCAGGCUAAAAAAAAUAAAAAAUAAAAAAAG